CCUACGGGUGGCAGCAGUGGGGAAUAUUGCUCAAUGGGGGAAACCCUGAAGCAGCAACGCCGCGUGGAGGAUGACACUUUUCGGAGCGUAAACUCCUUUUCUUGGGAAAGAAUUAUGACGGUACCCAAGGAAUAAGCACCGGCUAACUCCGUGCCAGCAGCCGCGGUAAUACGGAGGGUGCAAGCGUUACUCGGAAUCACUGGGCGUAAAAGACGCGUAGGCGGAUUAUCGAUUCUCUUGUGAAAUCUAACGGCUUAACCGUUAAACUGCUUGAGAAACUGAUAAUCUAGAGUAAGGGAGAGGCAGAUGGAAUUCUUGGUGUAGGGGUAAAAUCCGUAGAUAUCAAGAAGAAUACCUAUUGCGAAGGCGAUCUGCUGGAACUUAACUGACGCUAAUGCGUGAAAGCGUGGGGAGCAAACAGGAUUAGAUACCCGAGUAGUC
RNAcentral lists this ribosomal RNA (441 nucleotides) under uncultured Campylobacter sp. RNAcentral describes it as "bacterial SSU rRNA". It matches the Rfam family "Bacterial small subunit ribosomal RNA", at positions 338 to 795 of the family's 1533-position model. The record is from RNAcentral. Lineage: Bacteria; Pseudomonadati; Campylobacterota; Epsilonproteobacteria; Campylobacterales; Campylobacteraceae.